AUUGAACGCUGGCGGCAGGCUUAACACAUGCAAGUCGAGCGCGAAAGUUCCUUCGGGAGCGAGUAGAGCGGCGGACGGGUGAGUAACGCAUGGGAAUCUGCCCAGUAGAGGGGGACAACAGUCGGAAACGACUGCUAAUACCGCAUACGCCCUAAGGGGGAAAGGCCGGGAUCUUCGGGCCGGUCGCUAUUGGAUGAGCCCAUGUCGGAUUAGCUAGUUGGUGGGGUAAAGGCCUACCAAGGCGACGAUCCGUAGCUGGUCUGAGAGGAUGAUCAGCCACACUGGAACUGAGACACGGUCCAG
This 303-nucleotide ribosomal RNA is filed under the name uncultured bacterium. RNAcentral describes it as "bacterial SSU rRNA". It matches the Rfam family "Bacterial small subunit ribosomal RNA", at positions 30 to 334 of the family's 1533-position model. The record is from RNAcentral.